GGAUCAUUGUUCACCGAGGAUUCAAAGAUUUUGGCCCAUUCAUCUAUUACUCUUUUGCUUCUCUUUGGCAUUCUUGCUCUCCACAGGUUAUCCAUAGUGAUUUGAGUUAUUAUCAUACUGUGUUCCUUCAAUCAGACUUCAUAGAUUAUCUGUUUUCUUCAGAGUCUAUUAAUGUGGAGUUGAAAUGGUAUCUUGAAUCUUGCAGAAUGAAGUGUACAUGCUUAUGCUGAAAACUGACCUGUAAGAUACAACCUCUCUCUAUAAUCUUCACCUGCGUGCUAGAGAAAGAGUAACUAAUGAAUCAAGGAAGGAUAUCAUGUCAUUAAGGACACUACCUU
Molecule: long non-coding RNA, 338 nt
Filed under: Sorghum bicolor (sorghum)
Lineage: Eukaryota; Viridiplantae; Streptophyta; Magnoliopsida; Poales; Poaceae
Description: long non-coding RNA (SBIC_LNC007896)
Source: RNAcentral